GAUGAAGAACGUAUCGAAAUGCGAUAAGUAAUGUGAAUUGCAGAAUUCAGUGAAUCAUCGAAUCUUUGAACGCACAUUGCGCCCGCCAGCAUUCUGGCGGGCAUGCCUGUUCGAGCGUCAUUUCAACCCUCGAGCCCCCCCCGGGGGCCUCGGUGUUGGGGGACGGCACACCAGCCGCCCCCGAAAUGCAGUGGCGACCCCGCCGCAGCCUCCCCUGCGUAGUAGCACACACCUCGCACCGGAGCGCGGAGGCGGUCACGCCGUAAAACGCCCAACUUUCUUAGAGUUGACCUCGGAUCAGGUAGGAAUACCCGCUGAACUUAAGCAUAUCAAUAAGCGGAGGA
RNAcentral lists this unclassified non-coding RNA (344 nucleotides) under soil metagenome. Its description in RNAcentral is "partial contains 5.8S ribosomal RNA, internal transcribed spacer 2, and large subunit ribosomal RNA". The stretch from base 1 to 120 matches the Rfam family "5.8S ribosomal RNA", at positions 35 to 154 of the family's 154-position model. The record is from RNAcentral.